AAGGCUUUAGCUUAAUUAAAGCAUCUGGUUUGCAUUCAGAAGAUACAGGUUAAUACCCUGUUAGUCUUA
This 69-nucleotide transfer RNA is filed under the name Tetrastes sewerzowi (Chinese grouse). Its description in RNAcentral is "tRNA-Ala". It matches the Rfam family "tRNA". From Rfam's summary of the family: Transfer RNA (tRNA) molecules are approximately 80 nucleotides in length. Their secondary structure includes four short double-helical elements and three loops (D, anti-codon, and T loops). Lineage: Eukaryota; Metazoa; Chordata; Aves; Galliformes; Phasianidae. The record is from RNAcentral.